RNAcentral lists this ribosomal RNA (415 nucleotides) under Salmonella enterica subsp. enterica serovar Derby. RNAcentral's name for it is "partial 23S ribosomal RNA". It matches the Rfam family "Bacterial large subunit ribosomal RNA", at positions 1 to 446 of the family's 2925-position model. The record is from RNAcentral. Lineage: Bacteria; Pseudomonadati; Pseudomonadota; Gammaproteobacteria; Enterobacterales; Enterobacteriaceae.
GGGUUGUGAGGUUAAGCGACUAAGCGUACACGGUGGAUGCCCUGGCAGUCAGAGGCGAUGAAGGACGUGCUAAUCUGCGAUAAGCGCCGGUAAGGUGAUAUGAACCGUUAUAACCGGCGAUUUCCGAAUGGGGAAACCCAGUGUGAUUCGUCACACUAUCAUUAACUGAAUCCAUAGGUUAAUGAGGCGAACCGGGGGAACUGAAACAUCUAAGUACCCCGAGGAAAAGAAAUCAACCGAGAUUCCCCCAGUAGCGGCGAGCGAACGGGGAGGAGCCCAGAGCCUGAAUCAGCAUGUGUGUUAGUGGAAGCGUCUGGAAAGGCGCGCGAUACAGGGUGACAGCCCCGUACACAAAAGCGCAUGUGUUGUGAGCUCGAUGAGUAGGGCGGGACACGUGGUAUCCUGUCUGAAUAUG